This 492-nucleotide ribosomal RNA is filed under the name uncultured bacterium. RNAcentral's name for it is "partial 16S ribosomal RNA". It matches the Rfam family "Bacterial small subunit ribosomal RNA", at positions 29 to 507 of the family's 1533-position model. The record is from RNAcentral.
AGUGAACGCUGGCGGUAGGCCUGACACAUGCAAGUCGAACGGCAGCACAGUAAGAGCUUGCUCUUACGGGUGGCGAGUGGCGGACGGGUGAGGAAUACAUCGGAAUCUACUUUUUCGUGGGGGAUAACGUAGGGAAACUUACGCUAAUACCGCAUACGACCUACGGGUGAAAGCAGGGGAUCUUCGGACCUUUCGCGAUUGAAUGAGCCGAUGUCGGAUUAGCUAGUUGGCGGGGUAAAGGCCCACCAAGGCGACGAUCCGUAGCUGGUCUGAGAGGAUGAUCAGCCACACUGGAACUGAGACACGGUCCAGACUCCUACGGGAGGCAGCAGUGGGGAAUAUUGGACAAUGGGCGCAAGCCUGAUCCAGCCAUACCGCGUGGGUGAAGAAGGCCUUCGGGUUGUAAAGCCCUUUUGUUGGGAAAGAAAAGCAGCAGGUUAAUACCCCGCUGUUCUGACGGUACCCAAAGAAUAAGCACCGGCUAACUUCGUG